UCCGGUGGCCUGGUGGUUAGAGCGUCCGCCUCAGAUGCGGAAGAUCUCUGGUUCGAACAUCGGUCUAGUCAU
Molecule: non-coding RNA, 72 nt
Organism: Potamilus streckersoni
Lineage: Eukaryota; Metazoa; Mollusca; Bivalvia; Unionida; Unionidae
Source: the annotation of a GenBank genome assembly